Molecule: long non-coding RNA, 1081 nt
Organism: Manacus vitellinus (golden-collared manakin)
Lineage: Eukaryota; Metazoa; Chordata; Aves; Passeriformes; Pipridae
Source: Ensembl
UCUGUUCCUCUUUACAGCAAGCCUGGAGCUGCCCCUGCCUGGCUGCUCAGGUACGGCAUCGAUUUCCCAGGUUCCUGGAGCAGAACGGAUUCAGCAGCUCCACAGCCUGCUUUGCAGUGAUGGAUGGGAAUGAUUAUCUUUGUUAAUCCCACUAAGCCUACGGUCUCAACUUUUGAGGGUGCUUAAAGGAACACUUGAGGAGGAGCAUGUGAAGAUGUGUGGAGCACCUGCUCCUGUACCCCUGUCAGUAUUGACCUGAGGGCACUAUCUGGUGCAAGGAUUUUAAACAGGAAUAGUUCAGAGCAACCAGACUGUAGGCUUCGACAGGGACUUGGACUAAUGCUCCAAACGAGGACCACACUCCUGAGUCACACCCAUUGGCUGCUUUGGAGGUGGUGUUAUGCUCAAGGCUACAGGUGGGAAGGAAUAAUCCAGCUGGGUCUGGUUAUGGAGAGGCAGAUCAUCCCGUUUCGUCCCCCCUGUCACACACGGGAUGUGCCUCCAUUUGUCUCUGGCUGUGAAACAGCAGCGCACACUGAGGCAGAGGGCUGGGUAAAACCCCUUCAGCUGGCAGCUGGCACACAGAGAGGAGAGGGCUGGGAGCUCACCCUGACCUGCUAAGGGAAGCAAGAUCCUCGAUGAUAACCCUGUCUUCACUUGGAUUUUAUCUCAUGUGUGUUACCAUAAAUUCUGUCAUGCCCUUCCUGUUUCUUUCUUUGGAGUCAGUGAAGACCUGAGCUCUUUCUAAGAGACACUUCAUUUCCACCCAACAUGCUGAUCUAGUGAAAGACUUGCUGCUUAAUCUGGAGGUUGGGGUAGAGGGUGGGAUUGUUGCUUUGAGCCUCCCAGCUUGUGGGAGCACUGCCAUUUCCUGCUCUCGCCUCCCAGCACGGGGCCCUCACCACUGCUCUCCCUGGCAAUGGCCUGUUUCCAGCGGUGUCUUCCAGCAGCAAUCAGCACUGAACUGGGGGCUGCAUGCCCAGGAACCAAGCACUGGGGAGCAGUGCCUGGUUUCAAGCGUUGCUCCAUGGGUUGCAAGCACAAGUAUCAGUUUCCUCCAUCCUGAGCUCCGUGUGGCCGC